UCCUAUGGGGAAUUACCUAGGAUCUAUUCAGAAUUAGUUGGAAUUCUCUAUAGGACAGUUCCAGAUUGGCCAUGACGACCACCUCGCGGACCUUGGGCUUGACCAGAUGGGCCUUGACCUUCUCGAGAGCCUUUUCGAUCUUGUCGAGUCGUCGGUUGGUGAUAAGGUGUUCGAAACGGUGGGAAUUGUCUAGAAGGCGGCUGGAGUGGAAGUUCGCCACUGGACUGGGGCUAAUUUCAACAACUCGGCUGGAAUUGAACUCCAUUCGGGGAUUGGGUGUGGGUCUGCUUGAGGUCCAAGCCCACGCUGUUUCGGAACAUUGGAGAGAUUGAGGGGUAGAUGACUUCCUCGAACGGGUAGACGGGUUCGCUUUUGACGUAAGGAGUGAUUCCGUACCCAAAAAAUGAACUGCAGAGCCGGGCAGAACUUUUGCAGGUAGUUGAGACACUCUACUUCGGACUUCCGGGCUGGGUUCUGGGAAUGGGGACGUUUGGGUACGACUUCACAAACACGUUGUCAAAGUCGUAGACAGUGAUUGCCAUUGGGAAGGUGGUGGUUGGUACGGUUGUCGUUGGAACAGCUGUCAUUUGAACGGUGGUGAUUGGAAAGUUGGUCAUUGUGGGUUUGAUGAGGUGAGGAAAGUCCUUGGCUGGGCUAUAAAUACUCACCAGUUGUCCGGAAAAACCUGUCAGGUCGGGGUAAUGUCUGGAUGUAGAUGUCUAGAGGUGGAAUUUCUGGAUGUGAAGCGUCUAGAAGUGAAUAUGAGACACAGGGCUAGAGAGGCUUAGAGGGGAGACUAUGGGGAAGUCGAUGAGAGGAGGCAGAAGGCUCUUUUGCUUUUGGAAUAGUUGCGGUGAUUGAAGAGUCAAAGAUCGUCCGAAGUUGCAAGAAUUGUGAAUGUGCUUGCACCAAGGGGAACCUCGAACGCAGACCAACUGCUAGACCCCAGGGCGGUGCGCUAAAAAGAGGAACGGGAUCUGGCAAGUUGUUGAAUAGUGGACCACUAGUUGUGAGAGAUCGGAACUAGGUAUCCAGUUCAUAGUGAAACAACUCUGGGCUAGUUGGGGAAAUACGAGCCUGUAGAGAAUCAAAUGGAGAUGGGGUUGAUUGGGACCCGGGUCAAUUGGUCUCAGUAAUUUUGAUACAUGAUUCCAACAAGUUGAACAGAUCCAUCCUAGAUUGCUCUAGGCCGCCAAUAUCGGAACAGGCCAACAUCGAACUGCUAGAUCAUGAUCACGAGAUUGACCCUACGGCUUUUCAUGGUCACUGGUUCGGAGCUAACAGCCUACUGGAAAUAUGAAUGUGAGCAGGAGGGCGAAUGUGAAGCUGUUAGACUGACUCAAGUUGUCUUGUGAUUCGAGUGAUCCAUGGGCCGUCUCCUUCUUCGUAGUAGCAUACAGCACUUGACCCACACAGCGUCCAGAGUCCAAUGGAACCGAGGGGAAAAAUGUGGUUUUCAGUUGGUAUACGAGCAACUGAUAUGAACCGUGGCGAUAUGGUCAACAUCUUAGCUUCCGCCAGACUCGCAAGGGAGACAGUUUCCGUGCUUCUGCCUGAGGAGGUUUGCUUGGAGAACAGAGUACAUUAGGGACCACAUCCGCAAUUAUCGGAGCCCGAGCGAGCCAAAGCGGAAGGCUCACUUGAUCACUUGAAACAAUUUUCUGCCCAUAAUUCUGAAACACUUACGCCCGGCUCUUGAUCUUCAUUACAGUCUCUCUUAGAGGUCUACACGAUAAUUAGCCGCUGCUACUGGGUCAUACAUAAAGGGCUCCACUAAGAUCACUCCACUAAGAUCAAUGGUCCUGAUCUCAGACACUCGACAGAAUCUACAACCUCGACUGGGUAAUUGACCUCGAUCUAUGGUGUUCCCAGACUAUGGGCUCUACAAGACAAGAUCAAAGUGUUCCAACAGAGGACCACUGCUCAAACCAAGCCACUAACUUCAGUUUUUUACAAUAUCUCAUCAAUUAUACCAUUAUUAGCCGAAUGGAUGUCUCUUAUUUGUCCAAGAAAUCAUCCACAUAAGUGUAGACACACUGUUUAACGUGGUCUCGAAAAGUGUCUGGGGCACAGCUCUUCUGGCAGAUGGGGCAUUCGUAGGUAAUGGUUGUAGAAGCGGUUGUCAUGAUAAUUUGGUUAAUGA
RNAcentral lists this unclassified non-coding RNA (2143 nucleotides) under Yarrowia lipolytica. Lineage: Eukaryota; Fungi; Ascomycota; Dipodascomycetes; Dipodascales. The record is from RNAcentral.